Molecule: ribosomal RNA, 466 nt
Filed under: uncultured bacterium
Lineage: Bacteria
Description: partial 16S ribosomal RNA
Rfam family: Bacterial small subunit ribosomal RNA
Source: RNAcentral
GAUGAACGCUGGCGGCGUGCUUAACACAUGCAAGUCGAACGAUGAAGCCCAGCUUGCUGGGUGGAUUAGUGGCGAACGGGUGAGUAACACGUGAGUAAACUGCCCUUGACUCUGGGAUCAGCCUGGGAAACUGGGUCUAAUACUGGAUAUGGCUUCUCCCCGCACGGUGGGGGGUGGAAAGAUUUAUUGGUCUUGGAUGGACUCGCGGCCUAUCAGCUUGUUUGUGAGGUAAUGGCUCACCAAGGCGACGCCGGGUAGCCGGCCUGGGAGGGUGACCGGCCACACUGGGACUGAGACACGGCCCAGACUCCUACGGGAGGCAGCAGCGGGGAAUAUUGCACAAUGGGCGCAAGCCUGAUGCAGCGACGCCGCGUGAGGGAUGACGGCCUUCGGGUUGUAAACCUCUUUCAGUAGGGAAGAAGCGAGAGUGACGGUACCUGCAGAAGAAGCGCCGGCUAACUACGUG